GAUGAACGCUGGCGGCGUGCCUAAUACACGCAAGUCGAGCGAACAGAUGAGGAGCUUGCUCCUCUGACGUUAGCGGCGGACGGGUGAGUAACACGUGGAUAACCUACCUAUAAGACUGGGAUAACUUCGGGAAACCGGAGCUAAUACCGGAUAAUAUAUUGAACCGCAUGGUUCAAUAGUGAAAGACGGUUUUGCUGUCACUUAUAGAUGGAUCCGCGCCGCAUUAGCUAGUUGGUAAGGUAACGGCUUACCAAGGCGACGAUGCGUAGCCGACCUGAGAGGGUGAUCGGCCACCCUGGAACUGAGACACGGUCCAGACUCCUACGGGAGGCAGCAGUAGGGAAUCUUCCGCAAUGGGCGAAAGCUUGACGGAGCAACGCCGCGUGAGUGAUGAAGGUCUUCGGAUCGUAAAACUCUGUUAUUAGGGAAGAACAAAUGUGUAAGUAACUAUGCACGUCUUGACGGUACCUAAUCAGAAAGCCACGGCUAACUACGUGC
Molecule: ribosomal RNA, 498 nt
Filed under: uncultured bacterium
Lineage: Bacteria
Description: partial 16S ribosomal RNA
Rfam family: Bacterial small subunit ribosomal RNA
Source: RNAcentral